GGCGGAUCCAGGAUGUGUGGAUAGGGGGUGCUCACUUUCUUCUUCCUUCUCUUCUUUUCUUCUUCUUCCUCAUUUCCUUCUUCCUUCUCUUCACCCAUGGCUGAAAAUUGGGGGUGGGGAGCGCGCGCACACACCAAGCCCCCACGCUGGAUCCGUCCCUGGGGCUAGGGGCGCAUAAUCCCACCACGCCACAACCCUAGCCACCACUUCCUCUCGGCCUGAGCCCGAGACCCUUGCCACGCGUGCGGUGCUAGCACACCAGUGCACAACGUUCCUUCCCCGUACGUGUGGACUCCGUGGAGGCACUGCUGCUGUGCUGAUCGGCUACUGCAGCUGCUGAGGCGAGGAUGAGGAGAAGACGAUCGUGAUCAAUUACUUCCUCUACACCAACACGCAUCUACGUUGGACCGGCUGCUCCAACUCUUCUGCUGCGCUGUGCGUCUAUCGUAAGUUUUCUAGACGAUGCGGUAGAUAUUUUGCUAGAGUAGUCUGUCCGUUUCCCUACAGCAGCAGGGGCGAGCUAUGGACCAACUAUAAGUUCAUCUCACACUUUCUCCAUCAUGCUGUUUGUAGAGAAAGGGACUUGUCUUCUUACAGAAGGAUGGAAGAUGCAACCUGAGCCUGACUGAUGGAUACGAGACAGCUACAUUGCUACCACCAUUAACUUUUAAUAAGUACCUUAAUGGGUGUCCUCAGGGGUAUAAACAGACCACACCAAGCUGUAAGACCCGUAGCAACUCAUGCUUUGUGUAAAAAGGUUAACGACGAAGCAUCGUACCAAUAAGAAAAGCGCAAGGUUGAAGUCAAUAUGCAAAAUUAUACAGAGUCCCACAAUUGCAGUGAUAUUUUAUCAAUUCAUUUAUAUUCUCUGUAAUUGCAACUGGAUGUUCUAAGACACGUCCUGAGACGGCAA
This 913-nucleotide long non-coding RNA is filed under the name Setaria viridis. RNAcentral describes it as "long non-coding RNA (SVIR_LNC002355)". The record is from RNAcentral. Lineage: Eukaryota; Viridiplantae; Streptophyta; Magnoliopsida; Poales; Poaceae.